This 94-nucleotide signal recognition particle RNA is filed under the name Planctomycetia bacterium. RNAcentral describes it as "signal recognition particle sRNA small type". It matches the Rfam family "Bacterial small signal recognition particle RNA". Rfam says of the family: The signal recognition particle (SRP) is a universally conserved ribonucleoprotein involved in the co-translational targeting of proteins to membranes. The record is from RNAcentral. Lineage: Bacteria; Pseudomonadati; Planctomycetota; Planctomycetia.
AAUGGGUUCUGAGCAACGGAAGAGCAUGAACCUGGUCAGGGGUUUGCGCCAGCAGCCAUAAGUGUCAACUUUCGUGUGUUUAGAAUCCUUUUUG